Molecule: long non-coding RNA, 881 nt
Filed under: Triticum aestivum (bread wheat)
Lineage: Eukaryota; Viridiplantae; Streptophyta; Magnoliopsida; Poales; Poaceae
Description: long non-coding RNA (TAES_LNC013933)
Source: RNAcentral
AGGUUAAAGGCAGCUUUUUAUCAGCAUGGAGGAGAGUCAGCACUUUUCUCAGCCAUAGGCUUAUGGCAAAAGCCAGUGCCUUCUCUUUCCUUUGCUUCUUAAUGUGCUUUUGCUUAGGGUAUGUACUGUGAUCGGGACAAUACCCUACUGUUCCCCAUCUAACUGUCCUUGCAGGCAGCUAAAGCCUAGUAGGAUAGGGCUGCAGAUGUGGCUUAGAUUGUGAUCUGCAUGCAAAUCAGUUGAUAAAGAUUCAUUUUGCUUUGCACUCUCAUGAAUCACCAUCCUAAUUCCUGAACAAUGUUGAUUUGCUAGCACUAUGUGAUCCAGUAAGUUACCUGAACAUGGAUGCUAUUCUCCAGGUGGGCAUAAUUCAGCAUCUUGUCUGGAUCCAGUACCCCUGCGGUAGGAAACAAGCGGCGGUAACAUCGUUACCGCUGAAAGAGACGAGUGGGUGGGUGCUCGCUGCACAAUGUGCGCAGUCAAAACCUCGGGGAAUUUUAUGUCACUGCCCCGGUCUGGAUCUACUACCAGUUGUCGGCGACGAAGAUUUUUCUUAUUGCUGCGUCUAGGGGCUAGCCUGGCAUUGCUGGACGUUUCCUGAUCAAGAAGUAAUGUGCAGUUGCAGCAAAGUGUAGUUCCGCCAUGUGCACCAAUGCCGCAUCAUACCGACAACCCGCUUUCGCCAUUCCUCUGCGCAACUGGGAGCUGCUCGUCUCUCGGCGUCGCCAAUUUCCAUUAUCAAGGGAGAUGGAUGAGACAGGGAGCUUUCAUACUAGGUGAUCACUCCACUAACAACUCACCAUCCUGCUUUCCUCUGGAUUGGAUCGGACGGGACAGAACCGCCUUUUCUGCACAACUGAAUAGCUCUGCACCCUUACCAU